AUGACCUUCAUUCCUCUCACAUGUACACUAUCAAUCACGUAUUCAAGUAUAUAUAGUAAGCAACAAAAUGGAUUCUUGAAUUCAAAAAGGAAAGGCAACGAACGACAGCACCGCCAUCGGCGAGAGAAAGAGGGGAGUAUCCAUUCAUCCAUUCACACCAUAAAGAUGAGAAAGCGACGCGAUCCUUCUUCUUCCCCAGCAAGAAAGAAAAGCCCCACUUUAGAAGCCGGCCAUCUCCCGAGGACCCAUCCGCGAAACCGCGCCAAACCCAAUCCCAGCCGUCCACCUGCCAACCCCGCGCAGAUCCGACGGCCCGGGCGGACGGAGUCCCAGCGGCCGGGAGGGGCAAACCGGUACUUCCCCACCGGUGGCUCCGCCCACCCCCCUUUAUCUCCCCCUCCCCCACCUCCCGGUCCUCGUCCCUGGUGA
Molecule: ribosomal RNA, 429 nt
Filed under: Triticum aestivum (bread wheat)
Lineage: Eukaryota; Viridiplantae; Streptophyta; Magnoliopsida; Poales; Poaceae
Description: partial small subunit ribosomal RNA
Source: RNAcentral